CCUACGGGAGGCAGCAGUGAGGAAUAUUGGUCAAUGGGCGCGAGCCUGAACCAGCCAAGUAGCGUGAAGGAUGACUGCGCUACGGGUUGUAAACUUCUUUUGUAAAGGGAUAAAAUGAGGCACGUGUGCCUUUUUGUGUGUACUUUAUGAAUAAGCAUCGGCUAACUCCGUGCCAGCAGCCGCGGUAAUACGGAGGAUCCGAGCGUUAUCCGGAUUUAUUGGGUUUAAAGGGAGCGUAGAUGGGUUGUUAAGUCAGUUGUGAAAGUUUGCGGCUCAACCGUAAGAUUGCAAUUGAUACUGGCAGCCUUGAGUACAGGUGAGGUAGGCGGAAUGCGUGGUGUAGCGGUGAAAUGCUUAGAUAUCACGAAGAACUCCGAUUGCGAAGGCAGCCUACUAAAC
This 399-nucleotide ribosomal RNA is filed under the name uncultured bacterium. Its description in RNAcentral is "partial 16S ribosomal RNA". It matches the Rfam family "Bacterial small subunit ribosomal RNA", at positions 338 to 734 of the family's 1533-position model. The record is from RNAcentral.